GGGUUGUGAGGUUAAGCGACUAAGCGUACACGGUGGAUGCCCUGGCAGUCAGAGGCGAUGAAGGACGUGCUAAUCUGCGAUAAGCGUCGGUGAGGUGAUAUGAACCGUUAUAACCGGCGAUUUCCGAAUGGGGAAACCCAGUGUGUUUCGACACACUAUCAUUAACUGAAUCCAUAGGUUAAUGAGGCGAACCGGGGGAACUGAAACAUCUAAGUACCCCGAGGAAAAGAAAUCAACCGAGAUUCCCCCAGUAGCGGCGAGCGAACGGGGAGGAGCCCAGAGCCUGAAUCAGUGUGUGUGUUAGUGGAAGCGUCUGGAAAGGCGUGCGAUACAGGGUGACAGCCCCGUACACAAAAAUGCACAUAUUGUGAGCUCGAUGAGUAGGGCGGGACACGUGGUAUCCUGUCUGAAUAUGGGGGGACCAUCCUCCAAGGCUAAAUACUCCUGACUGACCGAUAGUGAACCAGUACCGUGAGGGAAAGGCGAAAAGAACCCCGGCGAGGGGAGUGAAAAAGAACCUGAAACCGUGUACGUACAAGCAGUGGGAGCCUCUUAAUGGGGUGACUGCGUACCUUUUGUAUAAUGGGUCAGCGACUUAUAUUCUGUAGCAAGGUUAACCGAAUAGGGGAGCCGAAGGGAAACCGAGUCUUAACUGGGCGUUAAGUUGCAGGGUAUAGACCCGAAACCCGGUGAUCUAGCCAUGGGCAGGUUGAAGGUUGGGUAACACUAACUGGAGGACCGAACCGACUAAUGUUGAAAAAUUAGCGGAUGACUUGUGGCUGGGGGUGAAAGGCCAAUCAAACCGGGAGAUAGCUGGUUCUCCCCGAAAGCUAUUUAGGUAGCGCCUCGUGAAUUCAUCUCCGGGGGUAGAGCACUGUUUCGGCAAGGGGGUCAUCCCGACUUACCAACCCGAUGCAAACUGCGAAUACCGGAGAAUGUUAUCACGGGAGACACACGGCGGGUGCUAACGUCCGUCGUGAAGAGGGAAACAACCCAGACCGCCAGCUAAGGUCCCAAAGUCAUGGUUAAGUGGGAAACGAUGUGGGAAGGCCCAGACAGCCAGGAUGUUGGCUUAGAAGCAGCCAUCAUUUAAAGAAAGCGUAAUAGCUCACUGGUCGAGUCGGCCUGCGCGGAAGAUGUAACGGGGCUAAACCAUGCACCGAAGCUGCGGCAGCGACACUAUGUGUUGUUGGGUAGGGGAGCGUUCUGUAAGCCUGUGAAGGUGGCCUGUGAGGGUUGCUGGAGGUAUCAGAAGUGCGAAUGCUGACAUAAGUAACGAUAAAGCGGGUGAAAAGCCCGCUCGCCGGAAGACCAAGGGUUCCUGUCCAACGUUAAUCGGGGCAGGGUGAGUCGACCCCUAAGGCGAGGCCGAAAGGCGUAGUCGAUGGGAAACAGGUUAAUAUUCCUGUACUUGGUGUUACUGCGAAGGGGGGACGGAGAAGGCUAUGUUGGCCGGGCGACGGUUGUCCCGGUUUAAGCGUGUAGGCUGGUUUUCCAGGCAAAUCC
RNAcentral lists this ribosomal RNA (1506 nucleotides) under Escherichia coli. RNAcentral's name for it is "partial 23S ribosomal RNA". It matches the Rfam family "Bacterial large subunit ribosomal RNA", at positions 1 to 1543 of the family's 2925-position model. Lineage: Bacteria; Pseudomonadati; Pseudomonadota; Gammaproteobacteria; Enterobacterales; Enterobacteriaceae. The record is from RNAcentral.